Molecule: ribosomal RNA, 468 nt
Filed under: uncultured bacterium
Lineage: Bacteria
Description: partial 16S ribosomal RNA
Rfam family: Bacterial small subunit ribosomal RNA
Source: RNAcentral
GACGAACGCUGGCGGCGUGCUUAACACAUGCAAGUCGAACGGAAAGGCCCUGCUUUUGUGGGGUGCUCGAGUGGCGAACCGGUGAGUAACACGUGAGUAACCUGCCCUUGACUUUGGGAUAACUUCAGGAAACUGGGGCUAAUACCGGAUAGGAGCUCCUGCUGCAUGGUGGUGGUUGGAAAGUUUCGGCGGUUGGGGAUGGACUCGCGGCUUAUCAGCUUGUUGGUGGGGUAGUGGCUUACCAAGGCUUUGACGGGUAGCCGGCCUGAGAGGGUGACCGGCCACAUUGGGACUGAGAUACGGCCCAGACUCCUACGGGAGGCAGCAGUGGGGAAUAUUGCACAAUGGGCGGAAGCCUGAUGCAGCAACGCCGCGUGCGGGAUGACGGCCUUCGGGUUGUAAACCGCUUUCGCCUGUGACGAAGCGUGAGUGACGGUAAUGGGUAAAGAAGCACCGGCUAACUACGUG